ACAGAUGUAACCAAGUGGAUUAAGGCCGUGGAUUAUGAAUCCACUAUGUGCGGUUUCAAUUCCCGUCAUUCGCC
This 74-nucleotide transfer RNA is filed under the name Olea europaea subsp. europaea. It matches the Rfam family "tRNA". From Rfam's summary of the family: Transfer RNA (tRNA) molecules are approximately 80 nucleotides in length. Their secondary structure includes four short double-helical elements and three loops (D, anti-codon, and T loops). The record is from Rfam by way of RNAcentral. Lineage: Eukaryota; Viridiplantae; Streptophyta; Magnoliopsida; Lamiales; Oleaceae.